This 468-nucleotide ribosomal RNA is filed under the name uncultured bacterium. RNAcentral's name for it is "partial 16S ribosomal RNA". It matches the Rfam family "Bacterial small subunit ribosomal RNA", at positions 28 to 507 of the family's 1533-position model. The record is from RNAcentral.
GACGAACGCUGGCGGCGUGCUUAACACAUGCAAGUCGAACGGAAAGGCCCUGCUUUUGUGGGGUGCUCGAGUGGCGAACGGGUGAGUAACACGUGAGUAACCUGCCCUUGACUUUGGGAUAACUUCAGGAAAAUGGGGCUAAUACCGGAUAGGAGCCCCUGCUGCAUGGUGGGGGGUGGAAAGGUUCGGCGGUUGGGGAUGGACUCGCGGCUUAUCAGGUUGUUGGUGGGGGAGUGGCUUACCAAGGCUUUGACGGGUAGCCGGCCUGAGAGGGUGACCGGCCACAUUGGGACUGAGAUACGGCCCAGACUCCUACGGGAGGCAGCAGUGGGGAAUAUUGCACAAUGGGCGGAAGCCUGAUGCAGCAACGCCGCGUGCGGGAUGACGGCCUUCGGGUUGUAAACCGCUUUCGCCUGUGACGAAGCGUGAGUGACGGUAAUGGGUAAAGAAGCACCGGCUAACUACGUG